Non-coding RNA from Gossypium hirsutum (cotton), 105 nucleotides. The record is from Rfam. Lineage: Eukaryota; Viridiplantae; Streptophyta; Magnoliopsida; Malvales; Malvaceae.
UGUUAAAAAUUUCAUUCAUUUUUACUGUUAAGAACUAAUAUGAUUAACGGAACAACCAAAUGUGUGAUUCAUGGUUAAUAGUAGAAAUUGAUGAAAGUUUUAACA